Molecule: ribosomal RNA, 253 nt
Filed under: uncultured bacterium
Lineage: Bacteria
Description: partial 16S ribosomal RNA
Rfam family: Bacterial small subunit ribosomal RNA
Source: RNAcentral
UACGUAGGGUGCGAGCGUUAAUCGGAAUUACUGGGCGUAAAGCGUGCGCAGGCGGUUUUUUAAGCAAGGUGUGAAAUCCCCGGGCUUAACCUGGGAACUGCAUUUGUGACUGCAAGACUAGAGUGUGGCAGAGGGGGGUAGAAUUCCACGUGUAGCAGUGAAAUGCGUAGAUAUGUGGAGGAAUACCGAUGGCGAAGGCAGGUCCCUGGGCUGACACUGACGCUCAUGCACGAAAGCGUGGGGAGCAAACAGG